AUUGAACGCUGGCGGCAGGCCUAACACAUGCAAGUCGAGCGGAGCGUCGGACGGGUGAGUAAUGCCUAGGAAUCUGCCUGGUAGUGGGGGAUAACGUCCGGAAACGGGCGCUAAUACCGCAUACUAUCAGAUGAGCCUAGGUCGGUUUAGCUAGUUGGUGGGUUAAAGGCCUACCAGGGCGUCGAUCCGUAACUGGUCUGAGAGGAUGAUCAGCCACACUGGGACUGAGACACGGCCCAGACUCCUACGGGAGGCAGCAGUGGGGAAUAUUGCACAAGGGGCGCAAGCCUGAUGCAGCCCUGCCGCGUGUAUGAAGAAGGCCUUAGGGUUGUAAAGUACUUUCAUCGGGGAGGCGUUACCCGCAGAAGAAGCACCGGCUAACUCCGUGCCAGCAGCCGCGGUAAUUC
Molecule: ribosomal RNA, 407 nt
Filed under: uncultured bacterium
Lineage: Bacteria
Description: partial 16S ribosomal RNA
Rfam family: Bacterial small subunit ribosomal RNA
Source: RNAcentral